This 146-nucleotide ribosomal RNA is filed under the name Involutiscutellula rubra. Its description in RNAcentral is "partial 18S ribosomal RNA". It matches the Rfam family "Eukaryotic small subunit ribosomal RNA", at positions 1687 to 1831 of the family's 1831-position model. RNAcentral also lists the same sequence under 1 other name. The record is from RNAcentral. Lineage: Eukaryota; Fungi; Ascomycota; Sordariomycetes; Diaporthales; Tubakiaceae.
GAUUGAUGGUUCAGUGAGGCGUUCGGACUGGCCCAGGGAGGUCGGCAACGACCACCCAGGGCCGGAAAGUUCUCCAAACUCGAUCAUUUAGAGGAAGUAAAAGUCGUAACAAGGUCUCCGUUGGUGAACCAGCGGAGGGAUCAUUG